GAUGAACGCUGGCGGCGUGCCUAAUACAUGCAAGUCGAGCGAACAGACGAGGAGCUUGCUCCUCUGACGUUAGCGGCGGACGGGUGAGUAACACGUGGAUAACCUACCUAUAAGACUGGGAUAACUUCGGGAAACCGGAGCUAAUACCGGAUAAUAUAUUGAACCGCAUGGUUCAAUAGUGAAAGACGGUUUUGCUGUCACUUAUAGAUGGAUCCGCGCCGCAUUAGCUAGUUGGUAAGGUAACGGCUUACCAAGGCGACGAUGCGUAGCCGACCUGAGAGGGUGAUCGGCCACACUGGAACUGAGACACGGUCCAGACUCCUACGGGAGGCAGCAGUAGGGAAUCUUCCGCAAUGGGCGAAGGCCUGACGGAGAAACGCCGCGUGAGUGAUGAAGGUCUUCGGAUCGUAAAACUCUGUUAUUAGGGAAGAACAAAUGUGUAAGUAACUAUGCACGUCUUGACGGUACCUAAUCAGAAAGCCACGGCUAACUACGUG
Molecule: ribosomal RNA, 497 nt
Filed under: uncultured bacterium
Lineage: Bacteria
Description: partial 16S ribosomal RNA
Rfam family: Bacterial small subunit ribosomal RNA
Source: RNAcentral